GCUGGGCAUCGUAGUGCAUGCCUGUGGUCCCGGCUACUUGGGAGGCUGAGGCAGGAGGAUCGCUUGAGCCUGGGAGGUCAAGGAUGCAGUGAGCCAAGAUCGUGCCACUGCACUCCAGCCUGGGCAACAGAGUGAGAUCUUGUCUCAA
RNAcentral lists this non-coding RNA (148 nucleotides) under Nomascus leucogenys (northern white-cheeked gibbon). The record is from Rfam by way of RNAcentral. Lineage: Eukaryota; Metazoa; Chordata; Mammalia; Primates; Hylobatidae.